This is a non-coding RNA of Manis javanica (Malayan pangolin), 614 nucleotides long. The record is from RefSeq and is a predicted model, not a curated record. Lineage: Eukaryota; Metazoa; Chordata; Mammalia; Pholidota; Manidae.
AGCUCCUCCUGAACAAGCUGUUUGGCCCGGAUCUCCGCUUCGAGAGCAGACUGCAAUUCCAGCCGUGCAGACAUAUCCAGCUUCUGACUACGGCGGACCUUCCAAAGGGGGUCCUACACACAGUAGUUCAGAUACUGAAUUACAUCACUGGUUACUCCAUUACUCUUGUCUCUGAUAAAAGACUAAAGUGAUAAGGGAGAGGAGGAUGACGGCGUGACCUCGAUGGAGUGACAGUGGGCUGAAGCGCCGGACGACAGCACCCACACCCCUGUUCCCUUACUGGGUGUCCCAGCACACUUCACCACUUUCAAGAGGUAUGAAAGGACACACCAGCUUGAUAGACUUUUGCAGAAGUCUUCCCUGAACACACAGUCCAGAACUUCUCAUUCUCCAUCUCUAACAGCAGAGAGAACGAGAUCGAGUCAAGGAGGCGCUCCACAAGUGGCAGACAAUCCCACUCGCAGAAUGUCUCGUAGUUCGUGAAUGCAACAUACAGUAAAUGUGACCGGAAAACGGAGAGAUGAAAAAAAUGGUAAAGUGGACCCAGAACAAUGGAAAGAGAGGAAGAGGGCCAUGUGCAGCCGCCACCAGUGAAGCACACAGCCCACCGACGG